AUGGUGGUCAUCUUCUCCGUCGCAGGUGGCCGGCCAGAGGCUGGGUGGUCGGAUCUCGAGAUCCGUUAUCUAGUCCCGGCUGCGAGUUGGAGAGUCAGAGUUGCCGGUGAAAACCGAGCCGAUGGCAGGCGAUGGCGGCGUUCUGCGAUCGUUACCUUGAUGAAGGCUUCGUUGUGUAACUGUUGUCGACCCACUUGUGCUGCUCCGGAGGAAACCCUAGGAUCUGGUUCUCCAGAUCGGACGAUGGCGGCACUGCGGUGUCGUUCCUCUUUUGGGAGCAUCGUUUGUGAAGCAGCGUUGGAAGUCAGAGGUAGGAGGUGGAGCGACUUCGUCUUGCACGGAGUUCAGUGGAGAUGUCAAGUCAUGCCUGGCCGACACGUGCUACACUUUGUCAUGUCUGGUCGGCAGGUGCUACGCACGACAACAAAGACUUCAAGUUGUGUCGGCUGGUGGUACUUGGCGGUAUGGUGCUGA
This 474-nucleotide ribosomal RNA is filed under the name Triticum aestivum (bread wheat). Its description in RNAcentral is "partial small subunit ribosomal RNA". Lineage: Eukaryota; Viridiplantae; Streptophyta; Magnoliopsida; Poales; Poaceae. The record is from RNAcentral.